Molecule: ribosomal RNA, 397 nt
Filed under: uncultured bacterium
Lineage: Bacteria
Description: partial 16S ribosomal RNA
Rfam family: Bacterial small subunit ribosomal RNA
Source: RNAcentral
AUACGUAGGGGGCGAGCGUUGUCCGGAAUGAUUGGGCGUAAAGGGCGCGUAGGCGGCCCGGUAAGUCUGGAGUGAAAGUCCUGUUUUUAAGAUGGGAAUUGCUUUGGAUACUGUCGGGCUUGAGUGCAGGAGAGGUAAGUGGAAUUCCCAGUGUAGCGGUGAAAUGCGUAGAGAUUGGGAGGGACACCAGUGGCGAAGGCGACUUACUGGACUGUAACUGACGCUGAGGCGCGAAAGUGUGGGGAGCAAACAGGAUUAGAUACCCUGGUAGUCCACACUGUAAACGAUGAAUGCUAGGUGUAGGGGGUAUCGACCCCUUCUGUGCCGCAGUCAACACAAUAAGCAUUCCGCCUGGGGAGUACGGCCGCAAGGUUGAAACUCAAAUGAAUUGACGGGG